RNAcentral lists this ribosomal RNA (446 nucleotides) under uncultured bacterium. RNAcentral's name for it is "partial 16S ribosomal RNA". It matches the Rfam family "Bacterial small subunit ribosomal RNA", at positions 338 to 795 of the family's 1533-position model. The record is from RNAcentral.
CCUACGGGUGGCAGCAGUCGAGAAUCAUUCACAAUGGGGGAAACCCUGAUGGUGCGACGCCGCGUGGGGGAAUGAAGGUCUUCGGAUUGUAAACCCCUGUCAUGUGGGAGCAAAUUAAAAAGAUAGUACCACAAGAGGAAGAGACGGUUAACUCUGUGCCAGCAGCCGCGGUAAUACAGAGGUCUCAAGCGUUGUUCGGAAUCACUGGGCGUAAAGCGUGCGUAGGCUGUUUCGUAAGUCGUGUGUGAAAGGCGCGGGCUCAACCCGCGGACGGCACAUGAUACUGCGAGACUAGAGUAAGGGAGGGGGAACCGGAAUUCUCGGUGUAGCAGUGAAAUGCGUAGAUAUCGAGAGGAACACUCGUGGCGAAGGCGGGUUCCUGGACAUUAACUGACGCUGAGGCACGAAGGCCAGGGGAGCGAAAGGGAUUAGAUACCCUUGUAGUC